Molecule: non-coding RNA, 46 nt
Organism: Amphimedon queenslandica
Lineage: Eukaryota; Metazoa; Porifera; Demospongiae; Haplosclerida; Niphatidae
Source: Rfam
UUAUAGGCUGUAAUAACAGCCACAUAUAUUUUAAAUUUUAAGCAAU